GAAGCCUGGUCCUUGUUCUGACCCAGCCGGGACAUGGACAGGAUUGACAGAUAGACAGAUUUCUCCAUUCCGUGGGUGCAUGGCCAUUCUUAGUUGGUGGAGUGAUUUGUCUGGUAAAUUCUGGUAAUGAACGAGACUCUGGCGUGCUAACUAGCUACCCCAAGCAAGCAGCCCAUGUCCCCCAACUUCUUAGAGAGGCAAGUGGUGUUCAGCCACCCGAGAUAGAGCAAUAACAAGUCUAUGAUGCCCUUAGAUGUCCAGGGCUACACAGGAGCUACGGCGACUGGCUCAGCGUGUGCCUGCCUUACGCUGGCAGGUACGGGUAACCUGGUGAACCCCGUUUGUGGUGGCAACCGGGGAUUGCAACUCUCCCCAUGGACAA
This 382-nucleotide non-coding RNA is filed under the name Mus musculus (house mouse). RNAcentral's name for it is "Eukaryotic small subunit ribosomal RNA". It matches the Rfam family "Eukaryotic small subunit ribosomal RNA", at positions 1197 to 1606 of the family's 1831-position model. Lineage: Eukaryota; Metazoa; Chordata; Mammalia; Rodentia; Muridae. The record is from Rfam by way of RNAcentral.